This 540-nucleotide ribosomal RNA is filed under the name Penicillium citrinum. RNAcentral describes it as "eukaryotic LSU rRNA". The stretch from base 142 to 295 matches the Rfam family "5.8S ribosomal RNA". The record is from RNAcentral. Lineage: Eukaryota; Fungi; Ascomycota; Eurotiomycetes; Eurotiales; Aspergillaceae.
UUUGCUUUCAGUGCGGACUCGGGGCCACCUCCCACCCGUGUUGCCCGAACCUAUGUUGCCUCGGCGGGCCCCGCGCCCGCCGACGGCCCCCCUGAACGCUGUCUGAAGUUGCAGUCUGAGACCUAUAACGAAAUUAGUUAAAACUUUCAACAACGGAUCUCUUGGUUCCGGCAUCGAUGAAGAACGCAGCGAAAUGCGAUAACUAAUGUGAAUUGCAGAAUUCAGUGAAUCAUCGAGUCUUUGAACGCACAUUGCGCCCUCUGGUAUUCCGGAGGGCAUGCCUGUCCGAGCGUCAUUGCUGCCCUCAAGCCCGGCUUGUGUGUUGGGCCCCGUCCCCCCCGCCGGGGGGACGGGCCCGAAAGGCAGCGGCGGCACCGCGUCCGGUCCUCGAGCGUAUGGGGCUUCGUCACCCGCUCUAGUAGGCCCGGCCGGCGCCAGCCGACCCCCAACCUUUAAUUAUCUCAGGUUGACCUCGGAUCAGGUAGGGAUACCCGCUGAACUUAAGCAUAUCAAAAGCGGGAAGGAAAAAAGAGUGCGGGC